GAUGAAGAACGUAGCGAAAUGCGAUAAGUAAUGUGAAUUGCAGAAUUCAGUGAAUCAUCGAAUCUUUGAACGCACCUUGCACCCUUUGGUAUUCCGAAGGGUAUGCCUGUUUGAGUGUCAUUAAAUUCUCAACCAUUGAACUUGUUUCUCUGGCUUGGAUGUGGGGGUUGCGGGCUUCGCAAGAGGUCGGCUCUCCUUAAAUGCAUUAGUGGAAACCGCUUGCAGGAUUCAUUCACUUUUUGGCGUGAUAGUAUCGUCGUCAGAAGUAGUGUUUCCGAGGUUUCUGCUCUCUAACCGUCCGCAAGGACUCUAUAAUGACUUGUUUGACCUCAAAUCAGGUAGGACUACCCGCUGAACUUAAGCAUAUCAAUAAGCGGAGGA
RNAcentral lists this unclassified non-coding RNA (381 nucleotides) under soil metagenome. Its description in RNAcentral is "partial contains 5.8S ribosomal RNA, internal transcribed spacer 2, and large subunit ribosomal RNA". The stretch from base 1 to 120 matches the Rfam family "5.8S ribosomal RNA", at positions 35 to 154 of the family's 154-position model. The record is from RNAcentral.